GAGUGUCGGGUUAAGUCCCGUAACGAGCGCAACCCUUGUCCUUAGUUACCAGCACGUUAUGGUGGGCACUCUAAGGAGACUGCCGGUGACAAACCGGAGGAAGGUGGGGAUGACGUCAAGUCAUCAUGGCCCUUACGGCCUGGGCUACACACGUGCUACAAUGGUCGGUACAAAGGGUUGCCAAGCCGCGAGGUGGAGCUAAUCCCAUAAAACCGAUCGUAGUCCGGAUCGCAGUCUGCAACUCGACUGCGUGAAGUCGGAAUCGCUAGUAAUCGUGAAUCAGAAUGUCACGGUGAAUACGUUCCCGGGCCUU
This 313-nucleotide ribosomal RNA is filed under the name uncultured Pseudomonas sp. Its description in RNAcentral is "bacterial SSU rRNA". It matches the Rfam family "Bacterial small subunit ribosomal RNA", at positions 1070 to 1382 of the family's 1533-position model. Lineage: Bacteria; Pseudomonadati; Pseudomonadota; Gammaproteobacteria; Pseudomonadales; Pseudomonadaceae. The record is from RNAcentral.